RNAcentral lists this ribosomal RNA (497 nucleotides) under uncultured bacterium. RNAcentral describes it as "partial 16S ribosomal RNA". It matches the Rfam family "Bacterial small subunit ribosomal RNA", at positions 28 to 507 of the family's 1533-position model. The record is from RNAcentral.
GAUGAACGCUGGCGGCGUGCCUAAUACAUGCCAGUCGAGCGAACAGACGAGGAGCUUGCUCCUCUGACGUUAGCGGCGGACGGGUGAGUAACACGUGGAUAACCUACCUAUAAGACUGGGAUAACUUCGGGAAACCGGAGCUAAUACCGGAUAAUAUAUUGAACCGCAUGGUUCAAUAGUGAAAGACGGUUUUGCUGUCACUUAUAGAUGGAUCCGCGCCGCAUUAGCUAGUUGGUAAGGUAACGGCUUACCAAGGCAACGAUGCGUAGCCGACCUGAGAGGGUGAUCGGCCACACUGGAACUGAGACACGGUCCAGACUCCUACGGGAGGCAGCAGUAGGGAAUCUUCCGCAAUGGGCGAAAGCCUGACGGAGCAACGCCGCGUGAGUGAUGAAGGUCUUCGGAUCGUAAAACUCUGUUAUUAGGGAAGAACAAAUGUGUAAGUAACUAUGCACAUCUUGACGGUACCUAAUCAGAAAGCCACGGCUAACUACGUG